AUAAAUUAAACGCUCCAGGUGUGAUACGCCUCACCUGUAUACCGCCCCAGACGUGUAGCACAUUUCCCAGCAGCAGAGCUACAUGAUCACUCCGCGCAGGAGCCGCCAUCAGCCGCGAGUCAGAGUCCGGUAACUCGGGAUGAGGUGGAUCAUUAUCCUGAGAAUUCAAGGCAUGAUGGGAUGCCACUCCGAAACAAGGCACGAUGUACACAUCCAGGCAUUCACCUCUAGGGUCAAUGUAAGAGUAGCCAGCCCACCUACAGAUGUUUUUGGGAGGUAGGAGGAAACCCGUGCAGACAGUAACCCAAGCUGUGGAUGCUGGAGCUAUGAGGAUUGCAAGGAGCCUGGAGCCUAUGACAGAUGGGGGACACCCUGGAUGGGGUCAUUACCGAAUAUAUAACACUACAUAAUAUAUCAGCAAAAAGUCUGUUUGGGGUUCAUUUAUCCGUUUUCGUUCUAUGUUGAUUUUUUUUUUUUUUAAUAAAUGUUUCCUUAUUUCUUAAGAUUAAAUAUGUAUUUUUAGAAUAUUUGAUUUGAUGACAAAAAAUGAUACAUUUCAUACAUGUUAGGAUACCAUUUUGGUGCAAGGAAUCACAAGUAGUUACAUUUCACUUCAGGUAUUGCUAUUGUCUAAUACUAUACUAUAUACUUUAUAGCGGUGGUUCUCAAAGUGGGGCUAGGGAACUACAGGGGUCCAUGAAGCAUAGCGUCAUAGCAUCUGUGAUUUUUUAUUUUGUUACAGUGGUGGAAAUUAUUCCCAUCAUUAGCAAAGUUAUUAUAUUUAUUAUUGAGCUUUGAGAACAUUUGACCGGUCAAUUGUCCUUACAUGCUUAUGGUCAAAAAUGUGCAUGAGAGAGUGGCAAUGUUUGAGCCUGAUUUUGCUGAUUAGCAGAUAAAAGGUACAUUAAGCAGAGAAAAAAAAAUCUGUAACAAAGCAUAAAAGUAUUUCAACUGUACUUAGUGUACCCUAAUGUACUGACAUCUGCUGCACAUUUAUGUCAGACAAUGAUAGGUGUAAUUUAUCUCAGAAAGAAUGAUCUGCAGACAUUAAAAAUACAUCAUUCUGGUUUCCUCCCAGCUGUCAUCAUCCUCAACAUUAUCAUCAUCAUCAUCAUCAUCAUCAUCAUCAGUGCAGAAUAGGUCUCAGUCAAGGACAAAAAAAGUA
This is a long non-coding RNA of Ictalurus punctatus (channel catfish), 1165 nucleotides long. RefSeq lists it as uncharacterized. The transcript is spliced from 3 exons. NCBI's taxonomy places the organism in Eukaryota, Metazoa, Chordata, Actinopteri, Siluriformes, Ictaluridae. The record is from RefSeq and is a predicted model, not a curated record.